This 1613-nucleotide ribosomal RNA is filed under the name Lepidochelys kempii (Atlantic ridley). RNAcentral's name for it is "16S ribosomal RNA". The stretch from base 86 to 1498 matches the Rfam family "Bacterial large subunit ribosomal RNA". Lineage: Eukaryota; Metazoa; Chordata; Testudines; Cheloniidae. The record is from RNAcentral.
GCAAAAACCUAGUCCAACCAACAAACAUAUACUCAAUCAAAAAAAUAAUCCUAUCAACAUUAAACUAAAACAUUUUACCAUCUCAGUAUUAGGCGAUAGAAAAGACACGUUGGAGCAAUAAAGACAGUACCGCAAGGGAAAGAUGAAAAACAUGAAAUAUAAUUUAAGCCACAAAAAGCAAAGAUUAACCCUUAUACCUCUUGCAUCAUGAUUUAACUAGCAUACCCAAGCAAAGCGAACUAAAGUCUGAAUCCCCGAAACCAAGUGAGCUACUUAAAGGCAGCCAAUAUCAUCUGGCUUAAAUCCGUCUCUGUAGCAAAAGAGUGGAAAGACCUAUAAGUAGAGGUGAAACGCCUAACGCACUUGGUGAUAGCUGGUUGCUCAAUAAAAGAAUAUAAGUUCAACCUUAAAUAUCCUAAAAACAAAAUAUAAAGUAUUUAAGAGAAAUUUAAGAUAUACUCAAUUGAGGUACAGCUCAAUUGAAAAAGGAAACAACCUAAAAUAGAGGACAAAACACUUAAACAUUAUUAUUGUAGGCUUCAAAGCAGCCACCACCAAAGACAGCGUCAAAGCUCACUAACAACAAAUAUCAACACCAAUUUUUUCCCUAAACAAUAUUGAGCUAUUCUACCUAAAUAGAAGAACUAAUGUUAAAAUAAGUAACAAGAAGACAAAACUUCUCUAACGCGCUAGCUUAAAUCAUAACAGAUAAACUAAUGAUUAUUAACAACUAACAUUAUAAAACCAACAAUACUAAACACACCAUAUAAACCAAAUUGUUAACCCAACACAGGAGCGCAUACAAGAAAGAUUAAAAUUUGUAAAAGGAACUAGGCAAACAACCGAGCCCGACUGUUUACCAAAAACAUAGCCUCUAGCAACAACAAGUAUUAGAGGUAAUGCCUGCCCAGUGACACUGUUAAACGGCCGCGGUAUCCUAACCGUGCAAAGGUAGCGUAAUCACUUGUCUUUUAAAUAAAGACUAGAAUGAAUGGCCAAACGAGGUUCCACCUGUCUCUUACAAACAAUCAGUGAAAUUGGUCUCCCCGUGCAAAAGCGGGGAUAACAUUAUAAGACGAGAAGACCCUGUGGAACUUUAAAUAUAAAUCAACUAUUACACUUACUACCCUAAAGACUUAUAACUUACUAGUUCUGAUCCAUAUUUUUGGUUGGGGUGACCUCGGAGUAAAACAAAACCUCCGAAAAAAAGAACAUACUUUCUUAACCUAGAUUUACAACUCAAAGUGCCAACGGUAAAAUGAUCCAAUACAUUUGAUCAACGAACCAAGCUACCCCAGGGAUAACAGCACAAUCCCAUCCUAGAGUCCCUAUCGACGAUGGGGUUUACGACCUCGAUGUUGGAUCAGGACAUCCUGAUGGUGCAACCGCUAUCAAGGGUUCGUUUGUUCAACGAUUAACAGUCCCACGUGAUCUGAGUUCAGACCGGAGCAAUCCAGGUCGGUUUCUAUCUAUAAAAUUUGGGCUUUUUCCAGUACGAAAGGACCGAAAAACCAAGGCCUAUAUCAAAAACAAGCCUUACCUUACAUUAAUGAAACCAACUUAACUAAUAAUAAGGACAAAACCACGCAUCCCAAGCCCAAAAAAAGGGCAAA